RNAcentral lists this long non-coding RNA (392 nucleotides) under Setaria viridis. Its description in RNAcentral is "long non-coding RNA (SVIR_LNC007864)". Lineage: Eukaryota; Viridiplantae; Streptophyta; Magnoliopsida; Poales; Poaceae. The record is from RNAcentral.
AAAAAAUUAUGAAAAAUUCACCAAAGCUCCUGUAACAUACCCUUAACACACUGGUUAAGUUUCACCCUCUGUUGCACAGUAACUUUGAGGAUAGAAAAAGUUAAGCUCAUUUUACCUUUAAUAAUAAAAUGCAUGUAACUCCUUUUUAAGUCAUCCUUUGGCCCCCAAACUUUUACAGUAACCUAGUGAUGGCUUAAGUGAGGUGCUGUAAUUUUAUCAGUGCUUUUAACUACUGUUUGGAUAUGAAGUCAUUUUGGUUAAUUAAUCAACCUAAAGGAAUAAAAGGAAAGCACAAAUUCUAAUACGAUAAUUAAGUGGAAAUUGAAAGAGGUACAUAAAAACAUUCAGAAGUGAGUAACUAUCCUAAUGCACCCAAACCACCCAAACACGAC